UGGAGGUGAUGAACUGUCUUGGCCUGAACUUAAGAUGGAGGCAAGAAAACUGAUUUAAUGAGCCUGAUCC
Molecule: small nucleolar RNA, 70 nt
Organism: Cricetulus griseus (Chinese hamster)
Lineage: Eukaryota; Metazoa; Chordata; Mammalia; Rodentia; Cricetidae
Source: Ensembl